This 1319-nucleotide long non-coding RNA is filed under the name Anolis carolinensis (green anole). RNAcentral describes it as "lncRNA (ENSACAG00000038593.1)". The record is from RNAcentral. Lineage: Eukaryota; Metazoa; Chordata; Lepidosauria; Squamata; Anolidae.
AUGGGACAAAGUCUUCUCAGUGGCCUAGAGAGAUCAAACUACGUCCUUCCUGGCUAUCCACCCGUGAAGAAGCAAAAGCUUUUUUUGUUUUGUUUCAGUAGCUUUUUGAUUGUUCAUUGUUCAGGGGAGAAGGCUUUUCACAAUGCAUGCAUUGCUUAUAUUUGUCAUCUCCCAACUUUUUUUCUCUUUGUCUACUUUUAGAUCCACGAAGGAUAGCAAAUCUUAUUCUUCCCAGAAAGCUCAGGCAAAACAAACUGCUCCAGACUCUCCUGACUUGCCUGCUCUUCCUCAUUAAUCAUUUUUCCAUCUUGAUCACACCUGGAUGAUGCUUGGAGGAUAUGGCACUUUCUUAUAUUUUGGUCAGGAGUAGUCUGUCUACAUUUAGGCCAGGAUACUCUGUUAGCUCCAUGAAAGAUAGCAAGAGGCUGGGGUAUAUCCACAGGAGGAGGACUCAAGAUAAUAAGACAUAUGGAAAUUAGAUCAUAUGAGAAACAUUUGAGGGAUCUGGGUAUGUUUAACAUUGGAAAGCAACGGUUGAGGUGAUUUCUUAAAAUGUUGUGUCAAAAGCAUUACAUAAAUAAAUAAGUUUAAAACUGAUAAAAUAAAGGGAUCACAAGCAGCUAAACAGUUUUAGACCAAAAACGGGCAACAGCAACUGCAUUGUCUGCAGCUUUAAACAUUUCUUCCUCUGUGCAUGAGGCAGGGCAUUGUGGGCAAGCAUACAGAUGCUGAGUUGUUCAUUCUACUCCACAGUUGCACAAGGUAGAGGAUUCUUCUAGGUUGUGCCAUUUUGCCAGGUUGUCUUUUGAUCUGCCGACUCCACUUCUGAGUCGGUUCAGGGACUUCCAAGAUGCCCAUUCUUGGUUUUGCCCCUGGAGGAAGACCCUCACGGGAGCCAUCUAGUUGGGGGACCAUUCAGUCAGGAUUGCCCAAUUUUGCUGCCCAUAGGGACACUCUUGCUGUUGCUGGAGUAACAUUUAGAGGAGUGGUGGUUCUCAUGAAACUUUUCCUUGAUUUGAGUCUACUGGGUGGAGGCUGAUAGCCAUGCAGUGGGUGGCUUUCAUCGUGUUCAACCUUAUUUCUCUCACAAUUGGCAGCAACUUCCCACCUCACAUCGGGGGGGGGGGGAUGCCAAUUACCUUAUAGAGUCUAUCAACAGGUGUAGGUUUCAGACAUUCUGUUGAGAUGAUGUUAGCCAUCUUUAAAUAUCUGAAAAGUUGCUGGGUAGAAGAUGCAACAAGUUUGUUUUCUGUUGCUUCAGCAGAUAAGACAUGAAUCAACAGAUUCAAAUGAUUAGAAUUGAGAUGCCUACUAAACCU